Molecule: ribosomal RNA, 407 nt
Filed under: uncultured eukaryote
Lineage: Eukaryota
Description: SSU rRNA
Rfam family: Eukaryotic small subunit ribosomal RNA
Source: RNAcentral
CCAGCACCUGCGGUAAUUCCAGCUCCAAUAGCGUAUAUUAAUGUUGUUGCAGUUAGAAAGCUCGUAGUUGAAUUUCUGGCUAGUCUUAUAGCUGGCCUCGGUCGUUAUAAGGCUAGUCAUCCGUUAGAGAACCAUGGCCGUCCUUAACUGGUCACCAUGGAGAUCUAACAUUUUACUUUGAAAAAAUUAGAGUGUUCAAGGCAGGCAAUCGUCAUGAAUACUAUAGCAUAGAAUAAUGGAAUAGGACUUUGGUUCAUUUUAUUGGUUAUUGAACCUUAGUAAUGAUUAACAGGGACAGUUGGGGGCAUUAGUAUUUAAUUGUCAGAGGUGAAAUUCUUGGAUUUAUUAAAGACUAACUUAUGCGAAAGCAUUUGCCAAGGAUGUUUUCAUUAAUCAAGAACGAAAGU